RNAcentral lists this ribosomal RNA (253 nucleotides) under uncultured bacterium. Its description in RNAcentral is "partial 16S ribosomal RNA". It matches the Rfam family "Bacterial small subunit ribosomal RNA", at positions 524 to 776 of the family's 1533-position model. The record is from RNAcentral.
UACGUAGGUGACAAGCGUUGUCCGGAUUUACUGGGCGUAAAGAGCGCGCAGGCGGUCGUUCAAGUCGAGUGUGAAAGCCCCCGGCUCAACUGGGGAGGGUCACGCGAUACUGAUCGACUCGAAGGCAGGAGAGGGUAGUGGAAUUCCCGGUGUAGUGGUGAAAUUCGUAGAUAUUGGGAAGAACACCGGUGGCGAAGGCGGCUCUCUGGACCGAUACUGACGCUGAGGCGCGAAAGCGUGGGGAGCAAACAGG